AUGUGUACUAUGGAUCAGCGCCAAUUACUUGGAAAUGUGUCCUUCUCAUGUCCACAGCCACAGACUGUCCCUGUGACUUUUCUGAGCUCCAGGAGUUAUCUGGCUCUGCCAGGCAACUCUGGUGAGGACAAAGUGUCUGUCACUUUUCAAUUUCGAACGUGGAACAGAGCAGGACAUUUGCUUUUCGGUGAACUUCGACGUGGUUCAGGGAGUUUCGUCCUCUUUCUUAAGGAUGGCAAGCUCAAACUGAGUCUCUUCCAGCCGGGACAGUCACCAAGGAAUGUCACAGCAGAUGGGAGGAGCACUGGGUCCUAAAUUGACAUUGUGCCUAAAUUGGCAUCGGAACUAAAUGCGGGCUUUAAAAAAAAAAGCGUAAUCUGAAAAAGAAAAAGGCACAGACGAAGAGGCUGACUUCUGCUUGAGACCAGGGGGUUAUCAUACUCAAAAAAAGAUUCCUUUUGGCUGUAAGAGGCACACGUGACUAUACUGCUAUUAAAUGUUGUGGUAUGAA
This 511-nucleotide long non-coding RNA is filed under the name Pan paniscus (pygmy chimpanzee). Its description in RNAcentral is "lncRNA (ENSPPAG00000045606.1)". The record is from RNAcentral. Lineage: Eukaryota; Metazoa; Chordata; Mammalia; Primates; Hominidae.